CUGGCGCUGAAUCAAGGCCGGCAGCUUCCUGACGCUGUUGGUUGCAAGCAGGAGCCUAAAGAGAUGUCUUUCUAUGGUCUGUGGCCAUUUCAGAACUUGGGCAGUGAAAUGGUCAAUUCAUUAGAAAGAAACAGCU
This is a small nucleolar RNA of Cavia aperea (Brazilian guinea pig), 136 nucleotides long. Lineage: Eukaryota; Metazoa; Chordata; Mammalia; Rodentia; Caviidae. The record is from Ensembl.